GUUAUUUAUUUUUUUCCGCUACUUUCCUCCCCGCCCCGGUCCACCAUCGUCUCUCCUGCUCUGGGUCUGAAGCAACUUCAACGUACUUGAAGGGAGCUCAGAUCCCUAAUUAUCGAAGAUGAGUAGCUUGGCUGAGAGGCUCCGGGUUAGAUCAGAACGAAAGCCAAUUUACAAUUUGGAUGAAUCAGAUGAUGAUGCAGAUUUUGUGUCUGGAAGAUCUCGUAAAAAUGAGGAGAAGUUAGAAAAGAUUGUCAGAGAUGAUGCGAAAGAAAACUCCUGUCAAGCCUGUGGGGAGACUGAGAAUCUCUUGAGUUGUGCCACAUGUACUUAUGCAUAUCAUCCGAAGUGCUUACUUCCUCCAUUGAAAGCUCCUUCUCUUCAUGACAACUGGAGAUGCCCUGAAUGCGUUAGCCCUCUGAAUGACAUUGACAAGAUAUUGGAUUGCGAAAUGCGUCCUACUGUGGCUGAUGAUAAUGAUGCUUCCAAUACGGGUUCAAAGCAAAUAUUUGUGAAACAGUAUCUUGUAAAGUGGAAGGGGUUAUCUAUUUGCAUUGCACUUGGGUACCUGAGAAGGAGUUCCUAAAAGCUUUCAAGUCCAAUCCUCGUUUAAGGACAAAGGUGAACAACUUCCAUAGACAAAUGGCAUCAAAGAAUAUCUCCGAAGAUGACUUUGUUGCCAUUAGACCUGAGUGGACUACAGUUGAUCGAAUUCUUGCUUGCAGGGGAGGUGAGGAUGAGAAGGAAUACCUUGUUAAAUAUAUAAAGAACUUCCUUAUGAUGAAUGUUAUUGGGAGGUUGAAUCAGACAUAUCUGCAUUUCAACCUGAAAUUGAGAGAUUUAAUAAAAUUAGGUCCAGAUCUCGUAAAUCUGCUAGUCAGCAAAAAAGCAGCCUUCAAGAUGCUGUUGAGUGCAAGAAAAAAUCAAAGGAAUUUCAGCAGUGUGAACAUAGUCCCGAGUUUCUUUCUGGAGGCACAUUGCACCCUUACCAGCUUGAAGGAUUGAACUUCUUGCGUUUUUCUUGGUCCAAACAAACACAUGUAAUUCUUGCCGAUGAAAUGGGCCUUGGUAAAACGAUCCAGAGUAUUGCUUUCUUAGCAUCUCUUUUUGAAGAGAAGAUUGCUCCUCAUUUGGUAGUAGCACCUCUUUCAACAUUACGGAAUUGGGAACGGGAGUUUGCAACAUGGGCUCCCCAAAUGAAUGUUGUUAUGUAUGUAGGUUCUUCCCAAGCUCGUGCAGUAAUAAGGGAGUAUGAAUUUUAUCAUCCUAAAAAGGGUCAUAAGAAGAUCAAGAAAAAGAAAAUCUGGCCAAAUUGUUAGUGAAAGCAAACGAGAUAAGAUAAAAUUUGAUGUUCUUUUAACGUCAUAUGAGAUGAUUAACUUGGACACAGCAUCAUUGAAGCCAAUAAAAUGGGAGUGCAUGAUCGUUGAUGAAGGACAUCGGCUCAAGAAUAAGGAUUCAAAAUUGUUUCUUUCAUUGAAACAGUAUACCAGUUACCACCGCACUCUUUUGACUGGAACCCCU
RNA transcript from Hibiscus syriacus, 1521 nucleotides. It is a transcript of the gene named CHD3-type chromatin-remodeling factor PICKLE-like, with no coding region annotated. Lineage: Eukaryota; Viridiplantae; Streptophyta; Magnoliopsida; Malvales; Malvaceae. The transcript is spliced from 10 exons. The record is from RefSeq and is a predicted model, not a curated record.